UAAAAUUAAAGUUAUAGUUAAACAAAAUUGCUUAACACUAUAAUAUAUUUUAUUUUAGUAUACAUUUUCUCUUUAUUCUUUUUUUUACAUAUAAUCUUUGAUUUAAUAAUUUACAAGAAGUGUAGUAAAUAUAUUUAAUUAUUUAGUUUAAGCUAGAUUUAGAAAUAGAUUUUGAAAAUUAACUAAUUUUGUGCCAGCAGUUGCGGUUAUACAAUUAAUUUUGGGGGAAAUUAAUGGUUAAUAGUAAUUUGUUUAUUAAAAAUAGUUAAUAAUAAUUAAUUUUAGGGUAAAAUUGAAAUUAAUUAAAAAUUUAAUUCAAAAAUUAUUUUACGAAAUUUAAAUUUAAACUAGGAUUAGAUACCCUACUAUUGUAAAUGUAAAUAUUUUCUGGAGUAGUAAUUGUUAUGAUCAUUAAACUCAAAUAAUUUGGCGGUAUUUUAUCUAAUUAGAGGAACCUGUUUUAUAAUUGAUAAUCCACAACUUACUCUACUUUAAGUAUAUAACUUGUAUACCGCUGUCAUGAAUGUAUUUAAAAAUUCAUUUUCUCUUAAUUUUAUAAAAUUAUAUGUUAGGUCAAGGUGCAGUUUCUUAAAGAAAAUAAUGGGUUACAUUUAAAAUAAUGAAUGAAUUAAUAUUUGAAAAAUAUUAUAAAAUAGGAUUUAAUAGUAAAAUUAUUUUUAGAAAUUAUAUGAAUACAGAUUCUAAAAUAUGUACACAUUGCCCGUCACUCUUAUUUAACAUAAGAUAAGUCGUAACAUAGUAGAUGUACCGGAAGGUGUAUCUAGAAAGAAA
This 792-nucleotide non-coding RNA is filed under the name Blastopsylla occidentalis. The record is from RNAcentral. Lineage: Eukaryota; Metazoa; Arthropoda; Insecta; Hemiptera; Aphalaridae.